This 468-nucleotide ribosomal RNA is filed under the name uncultured bacterium. RNAcentral's name for it is "partial 16S ribosomal RNA". It matches the Rfam family "Bacterial small subunit ribosomal RNA", at positions 28 to 507 of the family's 1533-position model. The record is from RNAcentral.
GACGAACGCUGGCGGCGUGCUUAACACAUGCAAGUCGAACGGAAAGGCCCUGCUUUUGUGGGGUGCUCGAGUGGCGAACGGGUGAGUAACACGUGAGUAACCUGCCCUUGACUUUGGGAUAACUUCAGGAAACUGGGGCUAAUACCGGAUAGGAGCUCCUGCUGCAUGGUGGGGGUUGGAAAGUUUCGGCGGUUGGGGAUGGACUCGCGGCUUAUCAGCUUGUUGGUGGGGUAGUGGCUUACCAAGGCUUUGACGGGUAGCCGGCCUGAGAGGGUGACCGGCCACAUUGGGACUGAGGUACGGCCCAGACGCCUACGGGAGGCAGCAGUGGGGAAUAUUGCACAAUGGGCGGAAGCCUGAUGCAGCAACGCCGCGUGCGGGAUGACGGCCUUCGGGUUGUAAACCGCUUUCGCAUGUGACGAAGCGUGAGUGACGGUAAUGGGUAAAGAAGCACCGGCUAACUACGUG